UACUUAUCACUUUCGCUUAGUCUCCGACUGUAUAUCGCCGAAAACGAGUAAUCAUCGUUUACAGCGUGGACUACCAGGGUAUCUAAUCCUGUUUGAUCCCCACGCUUUCGUCCCUGAGCGUCAAUUCAGGCCUAGUGAGCUGCCUUCGCUAUCGGUGUUCUGUGUAAUAUCUAUGCAUUUCACCGCUACACUACACAUUCCGCCCACUCCGACCGAAUUCAAGACUUACAGUAUCAAUGGCAGUUCUAUCGUUAAGCGAUAGGAUUUCACCACUGACUUAUAAAUCCGCCUGCGGACCCUUUAAACCCAAUGAUUCCGGAUAACGCUUGCACCCUCCGUAUUACCGCGGCUGCUGGCACGGAGUUAGCCGGUGCUUAUUCAUUUGGUACCUUCAGCUCUCUACACGUAAAGAGGUUUAUUCCCAAAUAAAAGCAGUUUACAACCCAUAGGGCAUUCUUCCUGCACGCGGCAUGGCUGGUUCAGGCUUGCGCCCAUUGACCAAUAUUCCUCACUGCUGCCUCCCGUA
RNAcentral lists this ribosomal RNA (526 nucleotides) under uncultured Bacteroidota bacterium. RNAcentral's name for it is "uncultured Bacteroidetes bacterium partial 16S ribosomal RNA". The record is from RNAcentral. Lineage: Bacteria; Pseudomonadati; Bacteroidota.